This 700-nucleotide ribosomal RNA is filed under the name uncultured bacterium. RNAcentral's name for it is "bacterial SSU rRNA". It matches the Rfam family "Bacterial small subunit ribosomal RNA", at positions 94 to 823 of the family's 1533-position model. The record is from RNAcentral.
AGUGGCGGACGGGUGAGUAACACGUAAGAAUUUGCCUUUAGGAGGGGGACAACAACUGGAAACGGUUGCUGAUACCCCAUAUGCUUUCGAGUGAAACGGAUUUUUCCGCCUAAAGAGAAGCUUGCGGCUGAUUAGCUUGUUGGUGAGGUAAUGGCUCACCAAGGCGACGAUCAGUAUCUGGUUUGAGAGGACGAUCAGACACACUGGAACUGAGACACGGUCCAGACUCCUACGGGAGGCAGCAGUGGGGAAUUUUCCGCAAUGGGCGAAAGCCUGACGGAGCAAUACCGCGUGAGGGAUGACGGCCUAUGGGUUGUAAACCUCUUUUUUCAGGGAGGAAUCAAAUGACGUGUACCUGAAGAAUAAGCAUCGGCUAACUCCGUGCCAGCAGCCGCGGUAAGACGGGGGAUGCAAGUGUUAUCCGGAAUCACUGGGCGUAAAGCGUCUGUAGGUGGUCAAAUAAGUCAACUGUUAAAUCUUGAGGCUCAACCUCAAAAUCGCAGUCGAAACUAUUAGACUAGAGUAUAGUAGGGGUAAAGGGAAUUUCCAGUGGAGCGGUGAAAUGCGUAGAGAUUGGAAAGAACACCGAUGGCGAAGGCACUUUACUGGGCUAUUACUAACACUCAGAGACGAAAGCUAGGGUAGCAAAUGGGAUUAGAUACCCCAGUAGUCCUAGCCGUAAACAAUGGAUACUAGAUGU